RNAcentral lists this transfer RNA (76 nucleotides) under Thiospirillum jenense. Its description in RNAcentral is "tRNA-Lys". It matches the Rfam family "tRNA". Rfam says of the family: Transfer RNA (tRNA) molecules are approximately 80 nucleotides in length. The record is from RNAcentral. Lineage: Bacteria; Pseudomonadati; Pseudomonadota; Gammaproteobacteria; Chromatiales; Chromatiaceae.
GCGCCCUUAGCUCAGUCGGUAGAGCAUCUGACUUUUAAUUAGGUGGUCGUGCGUUCAAGUCGCACAGGGCGCACCA